GACAGAGGGUGCAAACGUUGUUCGGAAUUACUGGGCGUAAAGCGCGUGUAGGCGGCCAUGCAAGUCGGAUGUGAAAGCCCUCGGCUCAACCGGGGAAGUGCACUCGAAACUGCAAGGCUAGAGUCUCGGAGAGGAUCGUGGAAUUCUCGGUGUAGAGGUGAAAUUCGUAGAUAUCGAGAGGAACACCGGUGGCGAAGGCAGCGAUCUGGACGAUGACUGACGCUGAGACGCGAAAGCGUGGGGAGCAAACAGG
Molecule: ribosomal RNA, 253 nt
Filed under: uncultured bacterium
Lineage: Bacteria
Description: partial 16S ribosomal RNA
Rfam family: Bacterial small subunit ribosomal RNA
Source: RNAcentral